AACUGAUUUGAAAGCACAUUCUCAUUGCUGUGCUGUGACCUGUCUAGAAUAUUUUCUUAGGUGCUGUUACCAAGUGAGCUCAACCAUUUGUCAUUCCCUGAUUGGUGCAUGCUUGUUUGGUCAUUCCCUGAUUGGUGCAUGCUUGUUUUGUGUGGAAGCUUUUAGCUGGAACGUCUUGCCACUGAAGAUCUGACUAAUCUUGGCAUGAGAACCACCCUGCUAUGGAAGCACUGAUCCAACAUCACCUCUUGUAUAGCACGUUUGUGUACACUUUUAAUUACAUUGCUAUUGCUGAGUAUCGUAUGUUUUAUCAUUUUUAAAUGAUAUUUUUAGAAUAUGUUCCUUUUCAUCUGCUUUUUAUUUUCAGUCAUCAAAUAAAAUGUCAAAUUGUUUGAGGUGACUGUUAAGAUUAUGAUAACACAAUUAUUUUGUUUGACUUGAAAUAUUUUUUGUGUGGUGACACAUUUGUGUAUGUGGUGACAUGAUUGUGUAUGUGGUGACACAUUUGUGUAUGUGGUGACAUGAUUGUGUAUGUGGUGACACAUUUGUGUAUGUGGUGACACAUUUGUGUAUGUGGUGACAUGAUUGUGUAUGUGGUGACACAUUUGUGUAUGUGGUGACAUGAUUGUGGUGACACCAUGUACACAUUUGCAAUGAUCACGUGUUCACGGGGAACUGUUGCUGUAACAAAAAUGUACACUUUAUUGGUAAUAAUCUGUACACAUUUUAAAACAUUGUUUUUUUUUCUGCUGGAUAUUAUGUUGACCUCCAUAUUUGACCUUUGUACUGGACAUUAUGUUGACCUACUUAGUUGACCUUUGUACUGGACAUUAUGUUGACCUCGAAUGUUGUUAGCCUACAACAUAUUGAUUAUGUAAAUGUUGUUAGUCUUACAACAGUAAUGAUGUAUCCACUCGAUGAUAUUAUAUUUUGACGUGUAUGUUCCUCUUGAUGUUCACAACUACAACUGAUGUAGUAGUUCGACACAUACGCCUACAUGUCAGUACAUGUUGUCAUAAUAAAAUUGGCUCAAAACACGUU
This is a long non-coding RNA of Physella acuta, 1041 nucleotides long. RefSeq lists it as uncharacterized. Lineage: Eukaryota; Metazoa; Mollusca; Gastropoda; Physidae. The record is from RefSeq and is a predicted model, not a curated record.